UAUUCAUCCCAUGCGGGAAGGAUGAGAAGCUUCGACUAAGGUUCGAUUCUAGCGAAGCGAGAAAGCGUUGCCGCAGGCAACGACCCGAAGGGCGAGGCGCAACGCGCCGAGUAAUCCUUCCCCCACCACCA
RNAcentral lists this small RNA (131 nucleotides) under Klebsiella michiganensis. Its description in RNAcentral is "RtT sRNA". It matches the Rfam family "RtT RNA". From Rfam's summary of the family: This family represents a bacterial cis-regulatory element known as RtT RNA. The exact function of RtT is unknown although it is thought that it may be involved in changing the cellular response in relation to amino acid starvation. Lineage: Bacteria; Pseudomonadati; Pseudomonadota; Gammaproteobacteria; Enterobacterales; Enterobacteriaceae. The record is from RNAcentral.